AUGAUUUGGGCUGUAGAAGCUGGUGGACAGAAGAAGAAAGGGUGAGGUGUUCUAAAAGGUUUUAAAGCAUCUAAGAAGCGUUUUGCCAAUGGAUCUGCAAAGCCAAAUAUUACAUUCUCUGAAAAAUUGGGUGGUACAAUAGAAAUGAACUAUCGUUCGUUCAAGAAUGACGUGGUAGUCAUAAUGAAAAGAAAGUUACCACUCAUUGGAAUGAGGAUGUGGUCGGACAUUCACCCUACCAUUCAUCGACUCAUUCUUGCAGAUAUGAUAGACAGAUGGGACCUGGAAGAUACACCAGAAACACAAGAAAAAGUUUUCAAAAUUGCGAAAGAGAGAUAUAGAGGCUGGCGAUCAACUCUAAGCUCCACUUACAAGGCAUACAAAACAGAUGUAGCUAGAUUGGCUAAUCUGCCAGAAGAUUUACAACCAGAAGAGUGGGAAUGGAUGAUUGAGUACUUUGGCACUGAUUCAAAAUUUCAGGAACGCAGCCAAAAGAAUGCUGAUAACCGUAAGAAACAGAAGACAAAAUACAUAAUCGGAUCAAAAUCUUACUCACAAGUUAGUUUUGAGAAGAGAAACUUGGAAACUGGAGAAGAGCCAGAUUGUAUUGCUCUAUGGGAACUCACCCACACAAACGAUGAAACAUGGUCUAACACAGAUUCCUAAAAAGUUUACGACCAAGCACUUCAAGAUGUUAAAAACAAAGAAGCUGAAACUGAAGGUCCACUUUCAAAUGAGCAAAAAAACAAUGUUUUUCAAACCGCUUACAAAAACACUCUGGAAUGCAAGUCAUGGCAGCCUCGUGGGUACGGAUACAUGGCCAAAACUUCAACUGGUUCUGAAAAGUUCCGUAUCCAGAUUGAAGAGCAAGCUCGUGCUACAGCAGCCACCCAGGAGCGAAACUCUCAGCUCAGCCAGCAGGUCAAUGACUUAGAAGAUCAACUACAAGAUGAACGUGCUAACACACAAGAGAGGAUUAACUUGGAGCGUGCUGAGAGAGAACAACUUGAGGACCGGUAA
RNAcentral lists this ribosomal RNA (1020 nucleotides) under Triticum aestivum (bread wheat). RNAcentral describes it as "partial small subunit ribosomal RNA". Lineage: Eukaryota; Viridiplantae; Streptophyta; Magnoliopsida; Poales; Poaceae. The record is from RNAcentral.